UGACAGAGUGAGGGAAUGACUGGUGACAGAGUGAGAGAGGGGGUGACUAGUGACAGAGCGAGGAAGGGGCUGACACAGUGACCGAGUGAGGAAGGGGUGACUGUCACUAGUCACCCCAUCCCUUCCUCUGUCACUAGUCACUCCCUCCUUAACUCUGUCACUAGUCAUCCCCUCCCUCACUCUGUCACCAGUCACCCUCUCCCUCACUCUGUCA
Non-coding RNA from Pelobates cultripes (western spadefoot toad), 214 nucleotides. The record is from the annotation of a GenBank genome assembly. Lineage: Eukaryota; Metazoa; Chordata; Amphibia; Anura; Pelobatidae.